UAUUCCCCGGUGAACUAUGAUAUGUAUAGGUUAUAUUCACAUUAACACAUCAUAUAGGUUAUAUUCACAUCACUUUCGAUAAGCUAUUCAUAUGCAUAGUUCAGGUUCACUAAUCUCUAUUAUUCCCCGGUGAACUAUGAUAUGUAUAGGUUAUAUUCACAUUAACACAUCAUAUAGGUUAUAUUCACAUCACUUUCGAUAAGCUAUUCAUAUGCAUAGUUCAGGUUCACUAAUCUCUAUUAUUCCCCGGUGAACUAUGAUAUGUAUAGGUUAUAUUCACAUUAACACAUCAUAUAGGUUAUAUUCACAUCACUUUCGAUAAGCUAUUCAUAUGCAUAGUUCAGGUUCACUAAUCUCUAUUAUUCCCCGGUGAACUAUGAUAUGUAUAGGUUAUAUUCACAUUAACACAUCAUAUAGGUUAUAUUCACAUCACUUUCGAUAAGCUAUUCAUAUGCAUAGUUCAGGUUCACUAAUCUCUAUUAUUCCCCGGUGAACUAUGAUAUGUAUAGGUUAUAUUCACAUUAACACAUCAUAUAGGUUAUAUUCACAUCACUUUCGAUAAGCUAUUCAUAUGCAUAGUUCAGGUUCACUAAUCUCUAUUAUUCCCCGGUGAACUAUGAUAUGUAUAGGUUAUAUUCACAUUAACACAUUGUAUAGGUUACACUCACCAUCACCAUCACUUUUGUUAAGCUAUUCAUAUGCAUAGUUCAGGUUCCCUAAUCCCUAUUACUCCCCGGUGAACUAUGAUAUGUAUAGGUUAUAAUCACAAUAGAUUUUCAUAUGGUUAGACUUCAACUAUAAUCGUUGAGCGUAUAUGCUUGAGUCAUACAAGAAUUUAGUCUAGAUUGGCUUGGAAUUGGUGGUGCCCGCCUUAUCUCCUGUUCCUUGUUUGGUUGUGGACCUAGGGCGGACCCAUUACAUUCGACGUUUUAUCUAACCUAAAUCUUAUAUAACUUAUAUAGGCUGGACAAUUAUAGGGGAAAUCUACGGGUAAAUCUAGAAUACAUCAAUGUAUCAUUUAGGAUUAUUCUGUUUACACUUAACUAAGAAAAUAUUGGAUCUUCUGGAAAUCAAACUUCAUCGAUUUUAAGAAGGAAAACGGUUUUUACUCCAAACAAAACUCUUAUGAACUCACCAACUUAAUUGUUGACACUCUUUUUCAAAACUACUUGUAUUCUCAGGAAAUCAGUGAAACAGGAAAACUUCAGCGCUUUGAGGAUGGGACGUUAAACCGUCAACA
This 1240-nucleotide long non-coding RNA is filed under the name Lactuca sativa (garden lettuce). Its description in RNAcentral is "long non-coding RNA (LSAT_LNC001303)". Lineage: Eukaryota; Viridiplantae; Streptophyta; Magnoliopsida; Asterales; Asteraceae. The record is from RNAcentral.